AUACCAAAUUAAUCUGCUAGUCCCUAAUAUUGAAAAUUUCCAUAAGUAAAUAUUAGAAAGGGCAACACUAUUAAAUUGCGGGAAACUCCUAAAGCUUUACUAACCACUCAUAUUUGGAAACAUUUAUGAGAAACUCGGGUAAUGACCGAUAUCACUGGUAAAAUCAGUAAAGAUUCUGGAAACAGAAAUGGACAAUCCGCAGCGAAACCCCUACAUCAUAAACUGACACGGGGAACGUUCAACGACUAAAAAGUAGUGGGUCGCAUUAAGCGGCUUAAGAUAUAGUCUAGCCCCACUCGAAAGAGUGCC
RNAcentral lists this non-coding RNA (309 nucleotides) under Indivirus ILV1. RNAcentral describes it as "Intron_gpI". It matches the Rfam family "Group I catalytic intron". From Rfam's summary of the family: Group I catalytic introns are large self-splicing ribozymes. They catalyse their own excision from mRNA, tRNA and rRNA precursors in a wide range of organisms. The core secondary structure consists of 9 paired regions (P1-P9). Lineage: Varidnaviria; Bamfordvirae; Nucleocytoviricota; Megaviricetes; Imitervirales; Mimiviridae. The record is from RNAcentral.